AAGAAUUAUCUCCCAUAAGAAAGGCUGAUCCUGAUCAGCAUAGUGAGGAUGAUAAACAGACAUCAGCAUUUUUCAAAGUUCUUUCUCCCAAGUCACCUACAUCUAGAGUGAAGCCUCAGUUUUUGGCCAUCUUAGAUGGAUUUUGGCUUAUUUUAUCUUCAACUUAUUUAUUGUAUGUGUCCUUAUUCCUGUGGCUGAGUGCAGUUGUCUCCUCAUUCUUCUACUUCCAGAAGGUGACUGUAAUCGCUAUGACUGUUACUAGUUCUCUUGGCAGAAGAAGAUUGUUUGCCCAGAUAAAUAGCUUCAUUGCAGUUUUUAUCCUUGCUGGACAACUUACAUUAACGGGGCGCAUCCUUACUAUAGCUGGGGUUACUACAGCUAUAUGCUCUGCUCCAGUUGUUGCCUUUUUAAAUUUGGUUGCUGUUGCUGUUUGGCCGACUUGGAUAGCAUUUGCCAUCUGUGAGACUUUAAGAAAGGUCGUUACUUAUGUAGUGACCAGGCCAGGAAGAGAACUCCUAUUUACUGUUGUUUCGGAGGAAGAGAAAUACAAAGCAAAGGUCUGU
This 563-nucleotide unclassified non-coding RNA is filed under the name Hevea brasiliensis (rubber tree). The record is from RNAcentral. Lineage: Eukaryota; Viridiplantae; Streptophyta; Magnoliopsida; Malpighiales; Euphorbiaceae.